Non-coding RNA from Paramormyrops kingsleyae, 2655 nucleotides. The record is from RefSeq and is a predicted model, not a curated record. Lineage: Eukaryota; Metazoa; Chordata; Actinopteri; Osteoglossiformes; Mormyridae.
CAGAAAUGAAUGAAUUAACGCUGCUGUCGACUCGCAGCAACGUCUUGAAAGAAAGACAAAAAACAAUUCGGACUACUUCAUGAAACUAGUAUACAGAUUGACGUUGCAUUUUGUUCUGUGGUGCUUGCUAACCUAACUGAGUUGGGGGUAGGAGCUAAUCCGCUUCUCAAUUUGAGGGGUGAAUGUAAAAUGCUUGUAUUUUUUUCUACUCGGCACAAGCUUCAUGUGUAAGAGAGGGGUUUCGCGAUAGUAGCAGAUCUGAGCCAAUAGAAUUUGAAUGCUAUCGGGCGGUCUUUCAGCGCCCAGUAGUGUUCUUCACGAUCCCUGCCUAAUUUACAUAUAGCCUAAAUAUAAGGAGGUCGAGUAAAAGCGGAGAGUCAUUCUUUUUGUGUUACAAUAGAGAGAAGAUAUGCCUGAGCCAGCGAAGUCUGCGCCCAAGAAGGGCUCGAAGAAGGCAGUGACGAAGACUGCCGGAAAAGGGGGAAAGAAGCGCAAGAGGUCCAGGAAGGAGAGCUACGCCAUUUACGUGUACAAGGUCCUGAAGCAGGUUCAUCCGGACACGGGUAUUUCUUCCAAGGCCAUGGGUAUCAUGAAUUCUUUCGUCAAUGAUAUCUUCGAGCGUAUCGCUGGUGAGGCGUCCCGCCUGGCUCACUACAACAAGCGCUCCACCAUCACUUCUAGGGAGAUCCAGACAGCCGUGCGCCUUCUGCUUCCUGGCGAACUGGCCAAGCACGCCGUGUCUGAGGGAACCAAGGCGGUCACCAAGUACACCAGCUCCAAGCGUCAGCAAAGUGGUGGAUGUGGGAAGUUUAGACUUCAGCCAACGACCCAUUAGGAGUUGUGCAGGUGAGUAACCUAUACCUUCUAAUGGCGUAUUGCGAUACUCUAACAUUGCAAUGUAAGGAUCUCCCUUAGCAUGUUGUGCCUUUUUAAGUCAGUUUUUGACAGUUUGAAUCAUUCUUUUGGCUUGUCCAUUUGACUGAGUGUGACCUGGGCUUGAUGUAAUAUGUCUGAAAUUUUCUGAAUUCGAAACUGGCGAAUUGCAAACCAUUGUCUGAAAUAACAAUGUUUGGAAUGCCAUGCCUGACAAAAAUUGACUUGAGAGAAUUGAUGACACUUUGGGUUGUGGUGGCUGAUAAUUUGAGAAUCUGUGGGAAUUUGGAAUAAAAAUACAGAGAAUAUAUUCUGAUCCAUUGUGGUGGAAAAGAUCUGUUCCGAUCUUGGACCAUGGUCUUCCUGGUAAUGAAUGUGGAAUUAGAGGCUUGCGUGGAUUAUUGUUUUUGUUGGUGUUACGUACAGAGCAUUGUGACACAUAUUCUUCAAUCUGCGCUGACAUAUUUGGCCAAUAUAAAAAGUCUCUUGCUCUUCCUUUGCAUUUUACUACUCCUAAAUGCGAUUUUGAAUCUUACCAAGCAUUUCUUGUCGCAGCUGAGUUGGUACUAUGAGCUUUGCAGCUUUGAAUGGUAAUCCUGAUGUGUAAUUAAUUUCUUCCUUGAAUCUCCAGUACGUUCGAAUUUCUUUAGGAACAGCGUCUCUGCCAUCCCUUCAUUGUCAUCAUGUGUAAUUGCUGCAUCUCAGGAUCAGCAGCUAUUGCUGUUCGGAACGUGGUCAGCUUUUCAGUUGUUAUGGGCAGCUGGGGUGUAACCCAAUUAAAUUCAAGUUCUUCACCAAGCAAAUCUUCAGCUUGCUUGUUUGAUAAGCCCUGCUCAAUGCAUCAGCAAUGUGCAUUUCUUUUCCAGGUUUGUGUAUUACAUUGAAACUGUACCUUUGAAGUCUGAGCAUCUAUUUUGUGUAGUGGCUUUUUGAAUAUUGUCUCUAAGGGUUUGUGGUCACUCUCCAGUAGAAUGUGUUUGCCAUGCACAUAUUGAUGGAAUUUUUCACAACCAUACACUAUGGCUAACAGCUCUUUUUCUAUUUGUGCAUACCUGCGUUUGGAAUCUUGUGAGUGCAUGAGAUCCAUAGGGAACAGGUCUUCCUUCUUGGAGAACUACUGCUCCUAUGCCUUCAAAAUUGGCAUCUACUGAUAGUGUCACAGGUCUGUGACGUACACGUCAAUGCUUUCAGAAGGACCUUGAGCUCUCGUGAUGAACAAAUGUCGAAUAUACGCUUCUUCUCCCGCGACGUGCAGAAAUGUGGCACACUGAAUUUUCUCCGACCUCUCGGCAAUUCCACUUGCAGUUACAAAUAGGUCAUAUUUUUGUACCCAUAGCUUCCAGUUUUCCGCAAGGUUGCCUUGUAAACAUAGAGGCGAAGGUGGUUGUAAUUGCUUCUAUGGCAUAAAAUCCCGUUCUGACACCGUGUAAUGUUCCUUAACUGAAUUUGCAAAGACAGGCGUACGACCAUGUGCUGUGCUCAGAAUCACUUUUCAAAUAAUGUCGUCUCCUUCAUAACCAGGAACGUUUCUCAUGUUCACACUGCAAGAACUCGGCCUGAUUGUAGUUCCUUAGGGACAGUUCAGGAACCCUUUAGUACCUCCUCCAGACUAAGUACUUUUAGUUUGAACAUAAACUAUUGGGGCGGUGCUUACAGUGAUACAGCUGAUUGGUUAACCACAAGCACUGCCAGAAACAUUACUUCUCUUCCUCUUUUUAAAUCUAGACUCAAAACUCACUUGUUUAAAAUUGUUUAUUCAACAUAACCUUUUUUUUAUUCUGU